UAUUAAACUUAUAGAAUUAAAUUUCUGCUAGUUGUUUUUUGUUGCAAAAAAAAUCUAGUAUAAUAAUAUUUAAAUUUACAUAUAUUUUUCACGUUUUCAAUGCCAAUUUUGUGUAAUGGCGAAGUUUCCCACUACCCGUGAAUGCCUCUUUUUUUUAUGUCUCUGGCUGACUCCUGAAUCUCCGCCCACUCUCUGCUCGAUCCCUACCGAAUGAAAGAGAUCUUUGGUUUUGCCUUUGCUGACUGCUGAUCCGAUCAUCUCAAGUCUGGAGACCUGCUGCAGAAAACCCUCUCCCUCUAUCGUUGACAAGCCAUUAACAAGCAAUUUCAGUCUGUCCUAUCACUCUCCCUCUCCCUGCUCCAUCUUUUUUGACAAGCCAUUCUAUCUUCUGUCAUUUCUCCGCCAUGAGCUCUAUCUAAUUUUGACAAGCUUAAACCUGUGUUGACAAGAAAUCUAAGUUUGACAAGAAACCAAGUUUGACAAGAAACCAAGGUUGUCAAGAAACCAAGUUUUUGGAAUUGAAGUUACCAGAACUUCGUCGAUCUGUUUUCAGAAUUCUGAGAGAUCUCUGCUCUCACUGCUCCUUCUUUCCUGUUGUUAAACUCUCUCAUAUCCACUAGUUUUGCUGGAAAUUGCAAGUAGAAAGUUGAAUAUACAGUAGUAGAAUUACAGUACAGUAGAUUUUACAGUACAAACUACUUACACAGCCCCACAUUUAUAGGUUUGACUUGGCAUUACACUGAUAGUUUGCCUUACAGGUGCAAUUACUUUGAUAAAUUAUAUAAAAUAUACACAUUUAUAAAGGCUUAUCUGUAAUGAGAUAAUUGGUUAUUUUGUAAUACAUACAUUCGGACUGCUGUAUUCACAUAAAUAUUAAAUCAGAUCCGAAUACAUUUUUCAAGUCUGUUUCAUUGACUAUAACAUUUGACUACAGUAAGUUAUAUAUAAAUACUAUUGUUAUUCAAACCCAUUUCUAUUACUCAGUGUAAGUGUUCAGUCACAAUUGUCAUCGAGAAGCUGCCCUGAGGUCCCAGACUUCCUGUUUCCUGACUGCUGCAGAACAUCCAGCUGAAGAAUCCUCAUCGCCUGUCAUCUGAUCACCGCACCACCACAGCUCCAUAUAGUUGAUUUAAGUUUUAGAUAUCUGAAAGAUUUACAUAAACUCUAUUUAAGAGCCAGAAGUUUUAUUAUAUCCUGUUGAUUGUUGUGAUUUCUAAAUAUCCCGUUACAGAAGUAUAGAUCUAAUCAUUAACCAGUCUGGUUAAAAAAAUAUACAUUUUCUGAAAAAGCUACAAUAACACUGACCCAAGUGUUUUCAGAGAACUUUGAAUAUCUUUAAUAUUGAGUUUGGAUUUAAGUCAGCCUUUUACAUCAUUUACAUAUCCAUAAGAACAUUUGAAGAACUUUACAUUUCUCAGAUUUGAUAGCAAUUUGAAGAGU
This is a long non-coding RNA of Oreochromis aureus, 1440 nucleotides long. NCBI's taxonomy places the organism in Eukaryota, Metazoa, Chordata, Actinopteri, Cichliformes, Cichlidae. The record is from Ensembl.